RNAcentral lists this small nucleolar RNA (107 nucleotides) under Beta vulgaris subsp. vulgaris (sugar beet). RNAcentral's name for it is "Plant small nucleolar RNA R71". It matches the Rfam family "Plant small nucleolar RNA R71". Rfam says of the family: R71 is a member of the C/D box family of snoRNAs containing the C (UGAUGA) and D (CUGA) box motifs. The record is from Rfam by way of RNAcentral. Lineage: Eukaryota; Viridiplantae; Streptophyta; Magnoliopsida; Caryophyllales; Amaranthaceae.
AACUCAUGGUGAGGACAUGAACGGAUCAUCUCCUUAAACCGCUCCCAAGCUUCCGCAAGUGUCUCGUCCCUCUCUUGCUCAAAUGAGGAGAUCUUCCUCCUUAUGUU